UCCGCAGGUGGCCUUGUAAGUCUGUCGUUAAAGCGCGGAGCUUAACUCCAUUUCAGCGAUGGAAACUACAAGGCUAGAGUGUGGUAGGGGCAGAGGGAAUUCCCGGUGUAGCGGUGAAAUGCGUAGAUAUCGGGAAGAACACCAGUGGCGAAGGCGCUCUGCUGGGCCAUCACUGACACUCAUGGACGAAAGCCAGGGGGAGCGAAAG
RNAcentral lists this ribosomal RNA (208 nucleotides) under uncultured bacterium. RNAcentral's name for it is "partial 16S ribosomal RNA". It matches the Rfam family "Bacterial small subunit ribosomal RNA", at positions 568 to 774 of the family's 1533-position model. The record is from RNAcentral.